RNAcentral lists this ribosomal RNA (253 nucleotides) under uncultured bacterium. RNAcentral's name for it is "partial 16S ribosomal RNA". It matches the Rfam family "Bacterial small subunit ribosomal RNA", at positions 524 to 776 of the family's 1533-position model. The record is from RNAcentral.
UACGUAGGGUGCAAGCGGUAAUCGGAAUUACUGGGCGUAAAGCGUGCGCAGGCGGUGAUGUAAGACAGAUGGGAAAUCCCCGGGCUCAACCUGGGAACUGCAUCUGUGACUGCAUUGCUGGAGCGCGGCAGAGGGGGAUGGAAUUCCGCGUGUAGCAGUGAAAUGCGUAGAUAUGCGGAGGAACACCGAUGGCGAAGGCAAUCCCCUGGGCCUGCACUGACGCUCAUGCACGAAAGCGUGGGGAGCAAACAGG